This 751-nucleotide long non-coding RNA is filed under the name Equus caballus (horse). Its description in RNAcentral is "lncRNA (ENSECAG00000052659.1)". Lineage: Eukaryota; Metazoa; Chordata; Mammalia; Perissodactyla; Equidae. The record is from RNAcentral.
GGAAUAGAAUGGAUUGCCCCAGGAAAGUGUGAGCUCCCCAUCAGCUGAGAUGCAUCAGCAGAGGCCCGUCGAUCAGUUGGAUGCUGUGAGGGAGACUCAAGAAGAGGAAAUGUUGGGUCGGUUCUCAUAAAUAUUGGAUUUGUGAGGAAAGAGGAAGAAACAGCUAGUGUGGAAUCUGAUCAUUUCCAAAGUCUGGUUCCCAGGAAAGACACCUUGAUAAUUGUUCUACUGUUAGAAGACAGCUUCAAGGCUUCCGGCCCUGGGAGAUGGAAGUGGUCCAGCCAUAGGACCUGGACAGGUGCUGUUGAAAAUUGCCUGGUGGACAAGCAGUAUCAGUCAGGAUGGGCCAAGCUGCGCUGCAAUAACAAACAACCCCCCGAUCUUGGAGGCUGAGUCCAGCGAAGAUGUCUGUCUCACCUACACUACAAGGGCCAUGUAGCCUGCCAGGGCGUGCUUGGCUCAUUAGAGUCACCCAGGGACACAGAAUAAUGGAAGCUCCUUCACGACACUUGCUUCCACCAGUACCACAACAGGAUCAGAGGUCUGUCGGCAGUAGCUUUAAAGAGGUCAGAAAUGGAUUCUGGAGUCUCUGCUCCAACUACUCCUUUUCUUUUUCUAAGUUCAGCUUCUUAUCUGUAAAAUGAGGCUAAUGAAAAAGCACCUACCUCACAGAUGUGCUGGGAGGUUAACUGAGAGGAUGGAUGGAAGCCCUUAGCUCAGAGUCUGGUUCACAGAAAGAACUCAAUAAAUG